CUGGCGGCAGGCCUCAUACAUGCAAGUCGAACGCCCCUUCGGGGGAGUGGCAGACGGGUGAGUAACACGUGGGAACCUACCCAGAGGUUCGGAAUAACUCAGGGAAACUUGAGCUAAUACCGGAUAAGCCUUACGAGGGAAAGAUUUAUCGCCUUUGGAUGGGCCCGCGGCAGAUUAGUUUGUUGGUGGGGUAAUGGCCUACCAAGACUACGAUCUGUAGCUGGUUUGAGAGGAUGAUCAGCCACACUGGGACUGAGACACGGCCCAGACUCCUACGGGAGGCAGCAGUAGGGAAUCUUGCACAAUGGGCGAAAGCCUGACGCAGCCAUGCCGCGUGAGUGAAGAAGGCUCUAGGGUUGUAAAACUCUUUCAGCGGGGAAGAUAAUGACGGUACCCGCAGAAGAAGCCCCGGCUAACUCCGUGCCAGCAGCCGCGGUAAUACGGAGGGGGCUAGCGUUGUUCGGAAUUACUGGGCGUAAAGCGCGCGUAGGCGGAUUAGUAAGUCAGUGGUGAAAGCCCGGGGCUCAACCUCGGAACUGCCUUUGAUACUGCUAGUCUUGAGUUCGAGAGAGGUGAGUGGAAUUUCUAGUGUAGAGGUGAAAUUCGUAGAUAUUAGAAAGAACACCAGUGGCGAAGGCGGCUCACUGGCUCGAUACUGACGCUGAGGUGCGAAAGCGUGG
RNAcentral lists this ribosomal RNA (680 nucleotides) under uncultured Alphaproteobacteria bacterium. RNAcentral's name for it is "bacterial SSU rRNA". It matches the Rfam family "Bacterial small subunit ribosomal RNA", at positions 36 to 764 of the family's 1533-position model. The record is from RNAcentral. Lineage: Bacteria; Pseudomonadati; Pseudomonadota; Alphaproteobacteria.